Molecule: long non-coding RNA, 1015 nt
Filed under: Marmota monax (woodchuck)
Lineage: Eukaryota; Metazoa; Chordata; Mammalia; Rodentia; Sciuridae
Source: RNAcentral
GAUCUUAUGUAGCACUCCCCCACCCCAAUAUAUAAUAUCUUAAAGAGACAGAGACUAUCUUCCAGAAAAAAAUACACAUGAGAUUUUGCUGAGCUGAAAAGGCUGUCGCUGGGUAUAGGAAGAUGAGAUGUGAAAACUAUGAUCAUUCUUAAAGCAGAUUCCUGCUGUCAGCUCUUUCUAAUGAGCUCCCCCUUCCUCUGUGCUUUAUGGACAAGAGUUUCUCAGGUUCUGUCAACCAGUAAGUAGGUUGACGGCACGGAGCCCCACUAAUAAAGGAGAGGAGUGGCCUUGUCCAGUGUUAUGGAGGAAGUGUCCAGGCAGUUCCUAUUGUUAUUCAGUGAAUUGCUUUUCAGGGGCCUUGGACCUCAGAAAAUUACUUACAUUGUUUUGAAAUCUCAACUUGUCUCAGCGUGGUCAGCUCCUCCACCAUAUGGCACAGUCAGCAGAUCUGUUGACUUAACUCUAGUGGGCACUCAACCGCUAAAUCUAAAUUGUUGAAGACUUUUUGCACUUGCCUCUCAAUAAAGGUUUAGAAUAACUCCUCCCAUGUGACUCCGUCAUACAACUCUAUUGAUGUUAAAUUAGAGAGACAUUCAAGAUACUGCCCACAAAUUAAUAUAUAAAAUGUGCUGGGAGCCAUUAGCCAAGUAGGUAUGACAAUUUCCUUGCCAGCGUACCCCAUGUUGCAGUGACAUUGAAUGUACGUGACCUUGCUCAAGGACCAAGGCAGAUUAGGGUGUUCCCUGUUUUAAGAUAAUCGUGUUUAGGGCGUUCCCAGUUUAGGUUCCAGGUUUAAGGUUUAAGAUUAUUCCUGCUGGGAAUAGGGCGUAUCCUGCUGCCUGAGUUCCCCUUGAGUUCUCACGGGAUUCAGACAGUAUAUUUUGGGAGAUAGAAGCCCAGUGGGUGUGGAUUUGGGCAGAGAACGUGGAUUUCCCCAGAACGUGAUUGUAGACGGCUGGUGUGAGUUCGGGAAUAAAGAGUUGCUGUUUGAAUCUACAAGCUGUGUGGUGGCUCG